This 30-nucleotide non-coding RNA is filed under the name Homo sapiens (human). Lineage: Eukaryota; Metazoa; Chordata; Mammalia; Primates; Hominidae. The record is from RNAcentral.
GGGUAUGCAUCUAUUCCUUGGAGUCUGACU